Molecule: non-coding RNA, 292 nt
Organism: Chlorocebus sabaeus (green monkey)
Lineage: Eukaryota; Metazoa; Chordata; Mammalia; Primates; Cercopithecidae
Rfam family: Metazoan signal recognition particle RNA
About the family: The signal recognition particle (SRP) is a universally conserved ribonucleoprotein.
Source: Rfam
ACAAGGUGUGGUGGUGCACGCCUGUGGUCCUAGCUACUCGGGAGGCUGAGGCAGGAGGAUGGCUUCAGUCCAGGAGUUCUGGGCUAUAGUGUGCCGUGUCAACUGGGUGUCAGCACUAAGUUUGGCAUCAAUAUGGGAGCAGGGGACCACCAGGUUGUUUAAGGAGGGAGUGGGUGCGCUGGCUCACAUCAGAAAUGGAGCAGGUCAAAACUCCUGUGCUGAUCAGUCAUGGGAUCACACCUGUGAGAGCCACUGCACUCCUGCCUGGGCAACAUCGUGAGAUCUGUCUCUU